Molecule: ribosomal RNA, 253 nt
Filed under: uncultured bacterium
Lineage: Bacteria
Description: partial 16S ribosomal RNA
Rfam family: Bacterial small subunit ribosomal RNA
Source: RNAcentral
UACAGAGGGGGCAAGCGUUAUUCGGAAUUAUUGGGCGUAAAGGGCGCGUAGGCGGCAUGGCAAGUGGAUGGUGAAAUCCCUCGGCUUAACCGAGGAACUGCCGUCCAAACUGCUUCGCUUGAGACCGGGAGAGGUGAGUGGAAUUCCCAGUGUAGCGGCGAAAUGCGUAGAUAUUGGGAGGAACACCAGUGGCGAAGGCGGCUCACUGGACCGGUACUGACGCUGAAGCGCGAAAGCGUGGGGAGCAAACGGG